This 488-nucleotide ribosomal RNA is filed under the name uncultured bacterium. RNAcentral's name for it is "bacterial SSU rRNA". It matches the Rfam family "Bacterial small subunit ribosomal RNA", at positions 11 to 477 of the family's 1533-position model. The record is from RNAcentral.
GUUUGAUCCUGGCUCAGAGCGAACGUUAGCGGCAGGCUUAACACAUGCAAGUCGAGCGAGAAAGGGGCUUCGGCUCCGAGUAAAGCGGCGGACGGGUGCGUAACACGUGGAUAAUCUGCCUCGUGGCGGGGGACAACAGUCCGAAAGGACUGCUAAUACCGCAUGUCAGGUCGGAAACUCCGGUUUCUGACGAAAAAGAGGGCGUCCGCAAGGAGCUCUCACCACGAGAUGAGUCCGCGUCCCAUCAGCUAGUUGGCGGUGUAAUGGACCACCAAGGCUUAGACGGGUAGCUGGUCUGAGAGGAUGACCAGCCACACUGGGACUGAGACACGGCCCAGACUCCUACGGGAGGCAGCAGUGGGGAAUAUUGGACAAUGGGCGAAAGCCUGAUCCAGCCAUGCCGCGUGAGUGAUGAAGGCCUCGGUCGUAAGACUCUGUGGGGAGGGACGGAAAAAGACGUAGACCUAAUACGUCUCGCCUUGACGGUA